RNAcentral lists this long non-coding RNA (547 nucleotides) under Homo sapiens (human). RNAcentral describes it as "THOC3 antisense RNA 1". Lineage: Eukaryota; Metazoa; Chordata; Mammalia; Primates; Hominidae. The record is from RNAcentral.
AGAAAUUCUCUCUUAGGAGCUGAUCAAAAUCAAACUAAGAAAUUUUUUACACAUGUGAGUCUUGGGGACUUCAGGGUCAUUCAAGGCAGAAUCAGGCCAUAAAUAGUAAUGCCAGAGAUGACAGGAUGUGUAGAGGGACAGGGGAAAAAUCUUACAGUGAAAGAAGAGUAGGGGAGUCUUGAAGUAUAAGUCCUUUGGGGGUCAGAGGACUUUAGAGAAGCUGAUGUUGUAAAAGAAAACAGACUUGUCACCUCUGGCAAAGCCUCAACAUAUGGGUAUGUAUCCGUCAGGGUUCAGCCAGAGAAGCAGAACAACUGGAAGAUAAUUAGAAUUAUCAGCUCAUUUGUCAUGUGGGGAUCCUCUGUGUUGGGAACCGAUGCUUGGUAUCACAAAAAUCAACACUGAGACAAAGUAUCUCUCAGCAAGGCUAGUUUACUUUCUGCAGAAAGGGUGCCACUCGCUAGCAGUCUCGCCAUGAGAGCACACACGAACAAAGGAGACAGGGUCAUUUAUAACCUGAAGUGUCCACCCUUCUGCUGUGUCCAGU